UCACACUAUUCCUUCCAAGGAUAUGUAGGAACGUAGUACAUAGAAAGAAAAAGGGAAAAUAUAUAUAUAUUAUGCUAUAUUUUUUCCCUUUUUCUUUCUAUGUAUUACAUUCCUACAUAUCCCUGGAAGGAAUAGUGUGAU
Pelobates cultripes (western spadefoot toad) is the source of this 141-nucleotide non-coding RNA. Lineage: Eukaryota; Metazoa; Chordata; Amphibia; Anura; Pelobatidae. The record is from the annotation of a GenBank genome assembly.